UACAGAGGGUGCGAGCGUUAAUCGGAAUUACUGGGCAUAAAGCGCACGUAGGUGGCGACGUAAGUCGGGUGUGAAAGCCCCGGGCUCAACCUGGGAAUUGCAUUCGAGACUGCAUUGCUGGAGUACGGAAGAGGAGGGCGGAAUUCCCGGUGUAGCGGUGAAAUGCGUAGAUAUCGGGAGGAACAUCAGUGGCGAAGGCGGCCCUCGGGCCCAGUACUGACACUCAAGUGCGAAAGCGUGGGGAGCAAACAGG
RNAcentral lists this ribosomal RNA (253 nucleotides) under uncultured bacterium. Its description in RNAcentral is "partial 16S ribosomal RNA". It matches the Rfam family "Bacterial small subunit ribosomal RNA", at positions 524 to 776 of the family's 1533-position model. The record is from RNAcentral.